Molecule: non-coding RNA, 107 nt
Organism: Gossypium raimondii (Peruvian cotton)
Lineage: Eukaryota; Viridiplantae; Streptophyta; Magnoliopsida; Malvales; Malvaceae
Source: Rfam
AACCCAUGGUAAGGGCACCUUCUCAAUAAAUUCUUGUAUCUCUCCCAUGCAUCAUAUAAGGUUUCUAAGUCAAUCUAAACGAAGAAAGAGAUAUCAUUCCUCAACUU